Molecule: ribosomal RNA, 440 nt
Filed under: uncultured bacterium
Lineage: Bacteria
Description: partial 16S ribosomal RNA
Rfam family: Bacterial small subunit ribosomal RNA
Source: RNAcentral
CCUACGGGUGGCAGCAGUAGGGAAUAUUGCUCAAUGGGGGAAACCCUGAAGCAGCAACGCCGCGUGGAGGAUGAAGGUUUUCGGAUUGUAAACUCCUUUUAUUAGAGAAGAUAAUGACGGUAUCUAACGAAUAAGCACCGGCGAAAUCCGUGCCAGCAGCCGCGGUAAUACGGAGGGCGCAAGCGUUACUCGGAAUCACUGGGCGUAAAGGGCGCGUAGGCGGGAAAGCAAGUCAGAGGGGAAAUCCUCUGGCUUAACCAUAGCACGGCAGUUGAAACUGUGAUUCUAGAGUAUGGGAGAGGUAGGUGGAAUUCUUGGUGUAGCGGUGAAAUCCGUAGAGAUCAAGAGGAAUACUGAUUGCGAAGGCGACCUGCUAGAACAUAACUGACGCUGAUGCGCGAAAGCGUGGGGAGCAAACAGGAUUAGAUACCCCAGUAGUC